ACGGGUGAGUAACGCGUGGGAAUCUACCGUGCCCUGCGGAAUAGCUCCGGGAAACUGGAAUUAAUACCGCAUACGCCCUACGGGGGAAAGAUUUAUCGGGGUAUGAUGAGCCCGCGUUGGAUUAGCUAGUUGGUGGGGUAAAGGCCUACCAAGGCGACGAUCCAUAGCUGGUCUGAGAGGAUGAUCAGCCACAUUGGGACUGAGACACGGCCCAAACUCCUACGGGAGGCAGCAGUGGGGAAUAUUGGACAAUGGGCGCAAGCCUGAUCCAGCCAUGCCGCGUGAGUGAUGAAGGCCUUAGGGUUGUAAAGCUCUUUCACCGGAGAGGAUAAUGACGGUAUCCGGAGAAGAAGCCCCGGCUAACUUCGUGCCAGCAGCCGCGGUAAUACGAAGGGGGCUAGCGUUGUUCGGAAUUACUGGGCGUAAAGCGCACGUAGGCGGAUAUUUAAGUCAGGGGUGAAAUCCCAGAGCUCAACUCUGGAACUGCCUUUGAUACUGGGUAUCUUGAGUAUGGAAGAGGUAAGUGGAAUUCCGAGUGUAGAGGUGAAAUUCGUAGA
RNAcentral lists this ribosomal RNA (557 nucleotides) under uncultured bacterium. RNAcentral describes it as "bacterial SSU rRNA". It matches the Rfam family "Bacterial small subunit ribosomal RNA", at positions 102 to 694 of the family's 1533-position model. The record is from RNAcentral.